RNAcentral lists this ribosomal RNA (468 nucleotides) under uncultured bacterium. RNAcentral's name for it is "partial 16S ribosomal RNA". It matches the Rfam family "Bacterial small subunit ribosomal RNA", at positions 28 to 507 of the family's 1533-position model. The record is from RNAcentral.
GACGAACGCUGGCGGCGUGCUUAACACAUGCAAGUCGAACGGAAAGGCCCUGCUUUUGUGGGGUGCUCGAGUGGCGAACGGGUGAGUAACACGUGAGUAACCUGCCCUUGACUUUGGGAUAACUUCAGGAAACUGGGGCUAAUACCGGAUAUGAUCUCCUGCUGCAUGUUGGGGGUUGGAGAGUUUCGGCGGUUGGGGAUGGACUCGCGGCUUAUCAGCUUGUUGGUGGGGUAGUGGCUUACCAAGGCUUUGACGGGUAGCCGGCCUGAGAGGGUGACCGGCCCCAUUGGGACUGAGAUACGGCCCAGACUCCUACGGGAGGCAGCAGUGGGGAAUAUUGCACAAUGGGCGGAAGCCUGAUGCAGCAACGCCGCGUGCGGGAUGACGGCCUUCGGGUUGUAAACCGCUUUCGCCUGUGACGAAGCGUGAGUGACGGUAAUGGGUAAAGAAGCACCGGCUAACUACGUG